GCUUUCAGGCUGCUGGCUCUGAGAGCUGCUGGGGUGCUGGGUGGCCUGUGGUUCUUUUCCCAGAUUCACACUCUGGGGUGAGGAGAAAGGUAGUGAGAUGCUCCUAAGACGAAAGUCAUGACUGCUCCCCUUUCCUGAGGGUCUCCAGCCCUGGGCUCCGGGCAUGUCUAGGCAGUGCCCCAAACUGCUGGUGUGUUCUGAGGGGAGAACUGAUUCCACAACAGAAAGAAGUUGCCUCACAAGAAUGAAAGGACAACUUCAAACAUGCUGGCAGAAACGCAUCAAACGUCAGCCAUGAAGCAACCCUCCAGGUCAUGCCAGCAGCCAACCUGUCGCGGGCUGUGGAAACCAAUGACCAAAGAAAGAAGGAAGCACACCUGAGCCAGCUUGCUCUCGAGCUGCAAUAUGCAAAUGAAGGCACAGGAUCAUUCUGUAGAUCCAGAUCCUUCUGAGGUGGCUUCGUUAAUCAAAGAGAAUGAACUUGCCAGAGACAAGAGAACAGUGCUGCAGCCAAGCAAAGAACAGUAGCUGUGCUUCUAAACUAGACUCUCCAAAGAGCCCAUGAACAUUUUCUAGACCAGCAUCCCAUCUCAUUCAGCCCUUCCUCCCUCUCAGAGUUUCCAGAUGUUUUACCAUCCUGAGGUCCAGCAUUAGCCAAUGGUCUUAAAAGGGACGCCUAGCAAAGAAAGGAAUAUGGGAGGUAUGGUCUGGUAGGGUGCCCUUUUCUGGGCAGUGUACUUCUGGAUGGUUGGAUGUUGAGACACUCACCUAUCUCCUAACUAUACUUUAACAUUUCCUGAACAUCUUUUGAAAAUCAUUAUUUUCAUGAUGUACAUUAUGUAAAAUAGUACAACCACUUUGGAAAACAAUUUGGCAUAGUAAAGCUGACCCAGCAAUUCCAUUUUCAGGUAUAUUCUCUAUAGAAUCUCUUGCAAAUACACAUGUAAAACAAUGUACAUAGUAAC
Molecule: long non-coding RNA, 965 nt
Organism: Bos taurus (domestic cattle)
Lineage: Eukaryota; Metazoa; Chordata; Mammalia; Artiodactyla; Bovidae
Source: Ensembl